Molecule: transfer RNA, 86 nt
Filed under: Mycoplasma tullyi
Lineage: Bacteria; Bacillati; Mycoplasmatota; Mollicutes; Mycoplasmatales; Mycoplasmataceae
Description: tRNA-Leu
Rfam family: tRNA
About the family: Transfer RNA (tRNA) molecules are approximately 80 nucleotides in length. Their secondary structure includes four short double-helical elements and three loops (D, anti-codon, and T loops).
Source: RNAcentral
GCACUCGUGGCGGAACUGGCAGACGCGCUAGACUUAGGAUCUAGUAUCUUUACGAUGUGGGGGUUCAAGUCCCUUCGAGUGCACCA